AGAGUUUGAUCCUGGCUCAGGAUGAACGCUAGCUACGAGGCUUAACACAUGCAAGUCGAGGGGCAGCAUUUUAGUUUGCUUGCAAACUAAAGAUGGCGACCGGCGCACGGGUGAGUAACACGUAUCCAACCUGCCGAUAACUCGGGGAUAGCCUUUCGAAAGAAAGAUUAAUAUCCGAUGGUAUAUUAAAACCGCAUGGUUUUACUAUUAAAGAAUUUCGGUUAUCGAUGGGGGAUGCGUUCCAUUAGUUUGUUGGCGGGGUAACGGGCCCACCAAGACUACGAUGGAUAGGGGGUUCUGAGAGGAAGGUCCCCCACAUUGGAACUGAGACACGGUCCAAACUCCUACGGGAGGCAGCA
RNAcentral lists this ribosomal RNA (359 nucleotides) under uncultured bacterium. RNAcentral describes it as "bacterial SSU rRNA". It matches the Rfam family "Bacterial small subunit ribosomal RNA", at positions 8 to 353 of the family's 1533-position model. The record is from RNAcentral.